GUUUGACCUCAGAUCAGGUAGGAAUACCCGCUGAACUUAAGCAUAUCAAUAAGCGGAGGAAAAGAAACCAACAGGGAUUGCCUCAGUAACGGCGAGUGAAGCGGCAUCAGCUCAMAUUYGGAAUCUGGCUCUUUUAGAGUCCGAGUUGUAAUUUGCAGAGGAAACUUUGGUGCGGUCUUAGUCUAAGUUCCUUGGAACAGGACAUCACAGAGGGUGAGAAUCCCGUAUGUGGCUAGAGACCUUAACCAUGUAAAGUUCCUUCAACGAGUCGAGUUGUUUGGGAAUGCAGCUCUAAAUGGGAGGUAAAUUUCUUCUAAAGCUAAAUAUUGGCCAGAGACCGAUAGCGAACAAGUAGAGUGAUCGAAAGAUGAAAAGCACUUUGGAAAGAGAGUUAAACAGUAUGUGAAAUUGUUGAAAGGGAAGCGCUUGUAAUCAGACUUGUGUGUAAGAGUUCAGCCUGGCUUCUGUCUGGUGUACUCUCUUAUAUACAGGCUAGCAUCAGUUUGGGUGGUAGGAGAAAGAUGUCAGGAAUGUAGCCUCUCUUCUUCGGGACUGAGGUGUU
Molecule: ribosomal RNA, 562 nt
Filed under: Pyxidiophora microspora
Lineage: Eukaryota; Fungi; Ascomycota; Laboulbeniomycetes; Pyxidiophorales; Pyxidiophoraceae
Description: partial large subunit ribosomal RNA
Source: RNAcentral